AGAGUUUGAUCAUGGCUCAGAGUGAACGCUGGCGGCGUGCUUAACACAUGCAAGUCGAGCGGACUUUGGCAGCACAUCGCUAGAGUUAGCGGCAGACGGGUGAGUAACACUUGGGCAAUCUGCCCUCGAGAGGGAGACAACCUGCCGAAAGGCGGGCUAAUAUCCCGUAAGACCACAGGGUCGCAUGACCUAGGGGUCAA
RNAcentral lists this ribosomal RNA (200 nucleotides) under uncultured bacterium. RNAcentral describes it as "partial 16S ribosomal RNA". It matches the Rfam family "Bacterial small subunit ribosomal RNA", at positions 8 to 204 of the family's 1533-position model. The record is from RNAcentral.